RNAcentral lists this long non-coding RNA (676 nucleotides) under Eutrema salsugineum. RNAcentral describes it as "long non-coding RNA (ESAL_LNC000089)". Lineage: Eukaryota; Viridiplantae; Streptophyta; Magnoliopsida; Brassicales; Brassicaceae. The record is from RNAcentral.
CGAUGUUGACUCUCCACCGUAGUAGUCAUUCCUGUCCAUGUCAAGUACCUAUUUGAAGUAUGCACAAAACCACAUCAUUAGUCGAUCAAUUUGAUGAUUACUUGGAACAAACUAGAUAACUGAUUGAAGAUAUAGAGUGGAGAAAGGCAUCUCCUUAUAUAUUAACAUAAACUAAGCUGAAUUAAUCUGUUAACAUCCAAAUGAUUCUGUCAAAGUGACGCAAACAUAACAGUUCAAGCUUCAAACUUUAGAAAUUCUCGAUAUCAAAGAUGUUUGCUCACUUAAAUUUAAAGGAGUCUCCACUAAUGUUUUCAAAAAAAUCAAUAUUGGAGAAUAAAACCGAAGAAACACUGGUGAUUUCUCGCGGAAAUCUGAGAACUGACGAGGAGGAAAACGAAAAAGAUGGAGAAGAAGAGACAAUUGAUUUCUCUGUAUUACAUUAAAACCAGACUUUAAAAAAACUAUGUAACUGAAUAAUCUCACCUUGAGAUCCGGUUCAUGGAGGAUAAUCUUCGCGUUAUCAAAGCAGCCAAGGAACUUAUCAGAAUAACCAGAAGAAUGUCAUCAACAUCUCCGGUGAAGAAGACGACGAAGACAACGAAAAUUCUGCGAGCGUUCUCCGAUCUGUUCGGCUUGGAUUCGAUAGGUAUGAAGAAGAGCUUGUCGAACACGAAUC